This 253-nucleotide ribosomal RNA is filed under the name uncultured bacterium. RNAcentral describes it as "partial 16S ribosomal RNA". It matches the Rfam family "Bacterial small subunit ribosomal RNA", at positions 524 to 776 of the family's 1533-position model. The record is from RNAcentral.
UACGAAGGGGGCUAGCGUUGCUCGGAAUUACUGGGCGUAAAGCGCACGUAGGCGGCUUUCUAAGUCGGGGGUGAAAUCCUGGAGCUCAACUCCAGAACUGCCUUCGAUACUGGAGAGCUUGAGUCCGGGAGAGGUGAGUGGAACUGCGAGUGUAGAGGUGAAAUUCGUAGAUAUUCGCAAGAACACCAGUGGCGAAGGCGGCUCACUGGCCCGGUACUGACGCUGACGUGCGAAAGCGUGGGGAGCAAACAGG